RNAcentral lists this ribosomal RNA (465 nucleotides) under uncultured Acidobacteriota bacterium. Its description in RNAcentral is "bacterial SSU rRNA". It matches the Rfam family "Bacterial small subunit ribosomal RNA", at positions 38 to 505 of the family's 1533-position model. The record is from RNAcentral. Lineage: Bacteria; Pseudomonadati; Acidobacteriota.
GGCGGCGUGCUUAACACAUGCAAGUCGAGUGCGCGCCUGUAGCAAUACAGGUGGCGCACGGCGCACGGGUGCGUAACACGUGGGCAAUCUGCCCUUCGAUGGGGAAUAACCCCGGGAAACCGGGGCUAAUUCCGCAUAACAUUCCGAGGAUCUCGGUCCUUGGAUUCAAAGCCGCAAGGCGUCGGAGGAGGAGCCCGCGCACGAUUAGCUAGUUGGUGAGGUAACGGCUCACCAAGGCUAUGAUCGUUAGCUGGUCUGAGAGGAUGGCCAGCCACACUGGAACUGAGACACGGUCCAGACUCCUACGGGAGGCAGCAGUGGGGAAUCUUGCACAAUGGGCGAAAGCCUGAUGCAGCGACGCCGCGUGGGGGAUGAAGCUUUUCGGAGUGUAAACCCCUUUCGACCCGGACGAAUGCCCUGCAAGGGGACUGACGGUACGGGUAUAANAAGCCCCGGCUAACUACG